This 449-nucleotide ribosomal RNA is filed under the name Brevibacterium sp. TSW19BA7. Its description in RNAcentral is "bacterial SSU rRNA". It matches the Rfam family "Bacterial small subunit ribosomal RNA", at positions 20 to 478 of the family's 1533-position model. The record is from RNAcentral. Lineage: Bacteria; Bacillati; Actinomycetota; Actinomycetes; Micrococcales; Brevibacteriaceae.
CUGCUCAGGACGAACGCUGGCGGCGUGCUUAACACAUGCAAGUCGAACGCUGAAGCUUGGUGCUUGCACUGGGUGGAUGAGUGGCGAACGGGUGAGUAUCACGUGAGUAACCUGCCCCUGACUUCGGGAUAAGCCUGGGAAACUGGGUCUAAUACCGGAUAUGACCAUCUUUCGCAUGUUGGGUGGUGGAAAGUUUUUCGGUUGGGGAUGGGCUCGCGGCCUAUCAGUUUGUUGGUGGGGUAAUGGCCUACCAAGACGACGACGGGUAGCCGGCCUGAGAGGGCGACCGGCCACACUGGGACUGAGACACGGCCCAGACUCCUACGGGAGGCAGCAGUGGGGAAUAUUGCACAAUGGGGGAAACCCUGAUGCAGCGACGCCGCGUGGGGGAUGACGGCCUUCGGGUUGUAAACCUCUUUCAGUAGGGAAGAAGCCUUGGGUGACGGUAC